GAUGAACGCUAGCGACGGGCUUAACACAUGCAAGUCGAGGGGCAGCACAGGUAGCAAUACCGGGUGGCGACCGGCGCACGGGUGAGUAACGCGUAUGCAACUUACCUAUCAGAGGGGGAUAACCCGGCGAAAGUCGGACUAAUACCGCAUGAAGCAGGGGUCCCGCAUGGGGAUAUUUGCUAAAGAUUCAUCGCUGAUAGAUAGGCAUGCGUUCCAUUAGGCAGUUGGCGGGGUAACGGCCCACCAAACCGACGAUGGAUAGGGGUUCUGAGAGGAAGGUCCCCCACAUUGGUACUGAGACACGGACCAAACUCCUACGGGAGGCAGCAGUGAGGAAUAUUGGUCAAUGGCCGAGAGGCUGAACCAGCCAAGUCGCGUGAGGGAUGAAGGUUCUAUGGAUCGUAAACCUCUUUUAUAAGGGAAUAAAGUGCGGGACGUGUCCCGUUUUGUAUGUACCUUAUGAAUAAGGAUCGGCUAACUCCGUG
This 485-nucleotide ribosomal RNA is filed under the name uncultured bacterium. Its description in RNAcentral is "partial 16S ribosomal RNA". It matches the Rfam family "Bacterial small subunit ribosomal RNA", at positions 28 to 507 of the family's 1533-position model. The record is from RNAcentral.